Long non-coding RNA from Entelurus aequoreus (snake pipefish), 1632 nucleotides. RefSeq lists it as uncharacterized. NCBI's taxonomy places the organism in Eukaryota, Metazoa, Chordata, Actinopteri, Syngnathiformes, Syngnathidae. The transcript is spliced from 7 exons. The record is from RefSeq and is a predicted model, not a curated record.
AUCUUAAAAAAUAACUAAAGUGUCAAAUAUAUCGAUAUUUUGGAUGUGGGAAACGACAUAAGAGCGUAAAGAUGUGGUGUUGGCGGAAGCGAUGUUUUUAGUAUCGAUCCGCACAUCAUUGAGUUAGUCCUGCUGCCAUGUUAGCAUUUUAGCCACUUUAAUCCUUUCCUGACUACUCUACUAAACUAACCCUAUUAUUCUUUAAGACCUAAUUUAGCACUUUAUUUCCAUAUGUCAGCAUACUAACUGUUAGCAACUCCCAAACGAAUCGGUCUGGAAGUAGCAUCUGUUGCUAGCAUGCUAAGUUGUUAGCAGUUUGAAGGCUACUCUGCCGCCGUCCGACUUCAAACUCCUCACACUUGUGCUAUUUUAAAAAGUUUUCGUUUUCCACCAGACGGUGGCAGCAGACGACCAGUUCACAGGGCUCUCAUCACUCCCGCGCAGCCGCAGAAGCCCUCCCUUGCCGAACGGAUGCUGAGAAUAGACCGAGCAGGAAUGCCUAUAUAUGGACAUGGAGCCUCACAGAUGCACCCGGCGAAUGUGGAAUGUGCCACUUGGGAGUAGAUUAUUCUCCAUGUGGUCCCGAUCUAAAAUGAGUUUGACGCCCCUGGAUUAAGGUGCGAUAGGACAUCAGCACCACGGACAGCGACUAAGCAGGUUUCAGCACCGCGGACAGCAUUUUUCCCGCACACUUGUUGACGCUCUCUUACCGGUUGAAGUGAGGAAGACGGACUUCCUGGUGUACAUGCAGGCCAGAGACAUGAUGUGCAGGUACGACAGCCGGGCUUUGUCCGUGUCCGAGAUGGGCAACAAGUCCUUCAGGUUCCGGAUCUCGGCGUUGAUCUGGUCCCGUCGAGCCUUGGACGCUCCCUUGGUGGAGCGAUACAUGCUGGCUUGACGCUGCAGUGCAGGCUGGGAGCUCCCAAGAAAAGAAGACGCUGGAAGCCCCUCCUAACAGGAGGCACUUGAACGUCUCAUUUUGGAGCAGCAAGAGAACAUUGAGCAUCUUCUGGUGAAUGGAGGUCAGCAGUAAAAACAGACACAAUGACAAUGAAUGGAUUAUCACCAUCCACGCUCAUCCAUCGAGCUGCAAAUCUCCAUCCUGAUGUCAAGUCAAGUGAUGAAUGAAUGAACGAAUGAAUGAAUGAAUAGGGCGCGCGAAGCAUCCUGCAGCAGACACGUGAGAGAAGCUGCUCUUUCUAAAAAUAGCUCUGCUACCUAUCCAUCUACUGUAUCUGUCUUAACGGCGCCCCCUGCAGCCACCAUCUUGCUAUCCACAUCACCAAAAAGGAUGCAAAUGCAAAACACACGUGAUUUUGUCCACAACUGCGUUAUUGUUAUUAAGUCUGAUUUCUUUCACACAUUUGGAGGGAGAUUGUGGAGGCUGUAAUGUUGUUGUUUGAUUUCUAGGUAUUCUUUCAUUGCCCUUUUCGAAAAUAGUUACCUGGAUCCAUGGAGAACGGGAGGCUUCUAUAGAGGUUGAGUUGAUCCAGCUAAAAAAAUGGGGGGCAGAGAAUAGCAUCUCUUGUGGUUGGAGGGCGCCGCCGUGGAGUCUUCGGCUCGUGCCUAAUAAAGUGGCCAUUGAUGGUCAUCGUGUGGAUGGCUCAAUCAGAGUCAUUCCCUUCAUUGCCC